UACGAAGGGUGCAAGCGUUACUCGGAAUUACUGGGCGUAAAGCGUGCGUAGGUGGUUUGUUAAGUCUGAUGUGAAAGCCCUGGGCUCAACCUGGGAACGGCAUUGGAAACUGGCUUACUAGAGUGCGGUAGAGGGUAGUGGAAUUCCCGGUGUAGCAGUGAAAUGCGUAGAGAUCGGGAGGAACAUCCGUGGCGAAGGCGACUACCUGGACCAGCACUGACACUGAGGCACGAAAGCGUGGGGAGCAAACAGG
This 253-nucleotide ribosomal RNA is filed under the name uncultured bacterium. RNAcentral's name for it is "partial 16S ribosomal RNA". It matches the Rfam family "Bacterial small subunit ribosomal RNA", at positions 524 to 776 of the family's 1533-position model. The record is from RNAcentral.